RNAcentral lists this long non-coding RNA (412 nucleotides) under Vigna radiata. RNAcentral's name for it is "long non-coding RNA (VRAD_LNC002571)". The record is from RNAcentral. Lineage: Eukaryota; Viridiplantae; Streptophyta; Magnoliopsida; Fabales; Fabaceae.
AAACAUUAAAUCAUUAUUUAUUCUCUUGUUCUAACUAACAUCAAAAUCUUGAAAUGAAUAAUGAUUCCUACUUAUAAUUUAUUAAUAAAUUUUGUGAUUAAUUGUUAAUUAAUGACAAUCACAAAUCUUUAAAUAAAUAUGUGUCAGUAUAUAUUUAUUGGUAAAAAUUGUGAUUGGAUUUUUUUUUUCUUCCUUAUUUCUCUUUGUCUCAAAUCCACACCAUCACUAUGUGUCAAUUACUAUCAUUUCCAACUCAUCAUCUUCGUUUCUAGUAUCUUUUUAUUUUUAUUUUUUUCUCAUAUGCCUGUUUUAACUUUGGUAACCAUCAUCGCACAUUUGCAUAACUGUUGCACUUUCACAUUGUCACAAAAUUGUUACGCUUUUACUAUCCCCACCAACUUUAACCUCCUCU